RNAcentral lists this ribosomal RNA (423 nucleotides) under uncultured bacterium. RNAcentral's name for it is "bacterial SSU rRNA". It matches the Rfam family "Bacterial small subunit ribosomal RNA", at positions 207 to 622 of the family's 1533-position model. The record is from RNAcentral.
AAGACCUUGCACUUUUGGAGCGGCCGAUGUCUGAUUAGCUAGUUGGUGGGGUAAUGGCCUACCAAAGCUUCGAUCAGUAGCUGGUCUGAGAGGACGGCCAGCCACACUGGGACUGAGACACGGCCCAGACUCCUACGGGAGGCAGCAGUGGGGAAUUUUGGACAAUGGGCGCAAGCCUGAUCCAGCCAUGCCGCGUGAGUGAAGAAGGCCUUCGGGUUGUAAAGCUCUUUCAGUCGGGAAGAAAAGGUUGCGACUAAUAAUCGCAAUUCAUGACGGUACCGGAAGAAGAAGCACCGGCUAACUACGUGCCAGCAGCCGCGGUAAUACGUAGGGUGCGAGCGUUAAUCGGAAUUACUGGGCGUAAAGGGUGCGCAGGCGGUUUUGUAAGUCAGAUGUGAAAUCCCCGGGCUUAGCCUGGGAACU